RNAcentral lists this transfer RNA (90 nucleotides) under Patescibacteria group bacterium. RNAcentral describes it as "tRNA-Ser". It matches the Rfam family "tRNA". From Rfam's summary of the family: Transfer RNA (tRNA) molecules are approximately 80 nucleotides in length. Their secondary structure includes four short double-helical elements and three loops (D, anti-codon, and T loops). The record is from RNAcentral.
GGAGAGGUGGCUGAGUGGUCGAAGGCACCACACUCGAAAUGUGGCGUAUGGGAAACUGUACCGAGAGUUCGAAUCUCUCCCUCUCCGCCC